AUUGAACGCUGGCGGCAUGCUUUACACAUGCAAGUCGAACGGCAGCGCGGGCUUCGGCCUGGCGGCGAGUGGCGAACGGGUGAGUAAUGCAUCGGAACGAGCCCAGUAGUGGGGGAUAGCCCGGCGAAAGCCGGAUUAAUACCGCAUACGACCUGAGGGUGAAAGCGGGGGACCGAAAGGCCUCGCGCUAUUGGAGCGGCCGAUGUCGGAUUAGCUAGUUGGUGGGGUAAAGGCUUACCAAGGCGACGAUCCGUAGCUGGUCUGAGAGGACGACCAGCCACACUGGGACUGAGACACGGCCCAGACUCCUACGGGAGGCAGCAGUGGGGAAUUUUGGACAAUGGGGGCAACCCUGAUCCAGCCAUGCCGCGUGCGGGAAGAAGGCCUUCGGGUUGUAAACCGCUUUUGUUCGGGAAGAAAUCCUCUGGGCUAAUACCCCGGGGGGAUGACGGUACCGGAAGAAUAAGCACCGGCUAACUACGUG
Molecule: ribosomal RNA, 484 nt
Filed under: uncultured bacterium
Lineage: Bacteria
Description: partial 16S ribosomal RNA
Rfam family: Bacterial small subunit ribosomal RNA
Source: RNAcentral